UGGUUAGAAUACCGGCCUGUCACGCCGGGGGUCGCGGGUUCGAGUCCCGUCCACUCCG
Non-coding RNA from Vibrio panuliri, 58 nucleotides. The record is from Rfam. Lineage: Bacteria; Pseudomonadati; Pseudomonadota; Gammaproteobacteria; Vibrionales; Vibrionaceae.